Pectinophora gossypiella (pink bollworm) is the source of this 386-nucleotide long non-coding RNA. RefSeq lists it as uncharacterized. The transcript is spliced from 2 exons. Lineage: Eukaryota; Metazoa; Arthropoda; Insecta; Lepidoptera; Gelechiidae. The record is from RefSeq and is a predicted model, not a curated record.
CAGUCGGUUACAAAACAUCCUAAUGUAAAUUAAGAAAUAAAUCUAUUACUAUAACAUGGUAUCUUAACUUAGUAUCAUUCCUAAACAACUAGGUUCUAUCCCUAUGAGGAUAAGUAAAGUGUCAGGACGGCAGGUCCUGACAAAAAGGCAUGAAGUAUGUAUUGAGGAUAAAUACUCCAUGUAUUAGUUGAAUAACAUCUUGAGAGCAUGGCACUAUCCAUAAUAAGUUAAAUUAAUCAUGAAGAAGAGAUAUCUAGAUGGUAUCCAGAGAUUUUAACACCAAACUGGAAUUAUGAAUUAUGUACAUUAAUAACCGCAGCAGGAACUGACACUGACGGCAAAAGUAGAUAAUGAACACAAAUGGUAGUCAUGGUUGGGGAGCUAGA